RNAcentral lists this ribosomal RNA (224 nucleotides) under Enterococcus faecium. Its description in RNAcentral is "partial 16S ribosomal RNA". It matches the Rfam family "Bacterial small subunit ribosomal RNA", at positions 1318 to 1533 of the family's 1533-position model. The record is from RNAcentral. Lineage: Bacteria; Bacillati; Bacillota; Bacilli; Lactobacillales; Enterococcaceae.
GCAUGAAGCCGGAAUCGCUAGUAAUCGCGGAUCAGCACGCCGCGGUGAAUACGUUCCCGGGCCUUGUACACACCGCCCGUCACACCACGAGAGUUUGUAACACCCGAAGUCGGUGAGGUAACCUUUUGGAGCCAGCCGCCUAAGGUGGGAUAGAUGAUUGGGGUGAAGUCGUAACAAGGUAGCCGUAUCGGAAGGUGCGGCUGGAUCACCUCCUUUCUAAGGAA